RNAcentral lists this ribosomal RNA (492 nucleotides) under uncultured bacterium. RNAcentral's name for it is "partial 16S ribosomal RNA". It matches the Rfam family "Bacterial small subunit ribosomal RNA", at positions 29 to 507 of the family's 1533-position model. The record is from RNAcentral.
AGUGAACGCUGGCGGUAGGCCUAACACAUGCAAGUCGAACGGCAGCACAGUAAGAUCUUGCUCUUACGGGUGGCGAGUGGCGGACGGGUGAGGAAUACAUCGGAAUCUACUUUUUCGUGGGGGAUAACGUAGGGAAACUUACGCUAAUACCGCAUACGACCUACGGGUGAAAGCAUGGGAUCUUCGGACCUUGCGCGAUUGAAUUAGCCGAUGUCGGAUUAGCUAGUUGGCGGGGUAAAGGCCCACCAAGGCGACGAUCCGUAGCUGGUCUGAGAGGAUGAUCAGCCACACUGGAACUGAGACACGGUCCAGACUCCUACGGGAGGCAGCAGUGGGGAAUAUUGGACAAUGGGCGCAAGCCUGAUCCAGCAAUACCGCGUGGGUGAAGAAGGCCUUCGGGUUGUAAAGCCCUUUUGUUGGGAAAGAAAAGCAGCAGGUUAAUACCCCGCUGUUCUGACGGUACCCAAAGAAUAAGCACCGGCUAACUUCGUG